AAACUUUAUGCUCGAGAACCAAUGGGUUUCGAUUUCCUUAGCGCAUGCGAAACAUCGUCCCGAGCCACAUUGCAGAAAAUAUUUUUAAUAUCUAAUUUGUUUUAAAAGAAUAUAUAGUAAAACGAAAGUAGGGUACGUUAAAAUGUACGUAGCUCUACUUUAUUUUUAUCAGGAUUUAUAGGCAGAAGGAAAUAGUACAGCUUAAAGCUAUAAUCAUAUAUCAUCAUCUAAUGAGAAAUAUAACAAAAAUAUUUGAUUCAACAUACUCAGGCCAGUUUCGUGUACAAUGAUUUUCUUUUCAGUAAAAUCUUCAUUCAGUUGUAUCAUAUGAUUAUAUAAAUAGCAAUUCUUGUAAUUAAUAAAUAGUAAUGCUACAACACACUUUAAUAUUGCCUAUAGCAGUGGCAAAAAGAACCUCGUUAAACUGUUCAUCGGUGACAAUACAACAUUUAUUAUCGUUUAGUUCUAUAAUUACUCCUAAUACUAAUGUAGAUAUUUCCAAAUAUAAGAAUACAAGUCAAAAAGUUUCAAAAGAAGAUAAUACUUCAACAGCAAUAUCGGCUUACAAAUAUAUAAAGGCUACUGUAUUAAAAAAUUUAAAAGUCGAUCAAGACGAUGCGAUUGAUC
This is a long non-coding RNA of Ceratosolen solmsi marchali, 627 nucleotides long. RefSeq lists it as uncharacterized. The record is from RefSeq and is a predicted model, not a curated record. Lineage: Eukaryota; Metazoa; Arthropoda; Insecta; Hymenoptera; Agaonidae. The transcript is spliced from 3 exons.